This 442-nucleotide ribosomal RNA is filed under the name uncultured bacterium. Its description in RNAcentral is "partial 16S ribosomal RNA". It matches the Rfam family "Bacterial small subunit ribosomal RNA", at positions 338 to 795 of the family's 1533-position model. The record is from RNAcentral.
CCUACGGGGGGCAGCAGUGGGGAAUAUUGGGCAAUGGGCGAAAGCCUGACCCAGCAACGCCGCGUGAAGGAAGAAGGCUUUCGGGUUGUAAACUUCUUUUGACAGGGAAGAGCAGAAGACGGUACCUGUCGAAUAAGCCACGGCUAACUACGUGCCAGCAGACGCGGUAAUACGUAGGUGGCAAGCGUUUUCCGGAUGUACUGGGUGAAAAGGGCGUGUAGCCGGGCUGACAGUUAAGAUGUGAAAUCCGGGGGCUCAACCCCCGAACUGAUUUUGAAACUGUUGGUCUUGAGUAUCGGAGGGGCAGGCGGAAUUCCUAGUGUAGCGGUGAAAUGCGUAGAUAUUAGGAGGAACACCAGUGGCGAAGGCGGCCUGCUGGACGACAACUGACGGUUAGGCGCGAAAGCGUGGGGAGCAAACAGGAUUAGAUACCCGUGUAGUC